GCCUGAGGAUGGGCACAUUCCUCGCUCCCGGCGCCUUAUCGCUAGGCUCGCGCCGCCCCGGCUGGCUGUUUGGGGACGGAGAACCCACGGCGCUGCCCUGGGCUCUCCGGUGUCCCUGGCCCCCGUGCCCCGCGGCCGCCUCGACUUACCCGCGGAGUCCGGGGAGGAAGUGGGAGCGCCGCCUUCACGCCCGCGGAGGAGGCGCCGGCAGCACCAUGGUCCCCGGUGCCGCUGCCGCUGCCGCUGCCCCCGGCCCGCUCGCUCGCCGCGCGCUCUCUUUCUCUUGCAAACUUUCGGGUUCUGCAGUCGACAAGAAACCGGGGCGACCCUCAGCAAGCCUUCCCCGUGCAGGCAGGGGGCAACUGAAGGGGACGGGACGGGUUAGAUUUGAAUCUGUUUUCUCUGAAAACGCAAAAGGACCUGUCCACAUGGAACUGCUGGAUCACCUCUCACCAGUGCAAGUCCAAUGCGAAUGUAACAUACUUGUAACAUGUUUCCUAGUUAAUGUCUCUGUCUGGGAAUCAUUCCUGCGUGCUCAACCUGCAAAGCCUGACAACCUGCUGGCAACACACUGAAUCUGUUCAGUCCUUAUACUGGAUAGCUGACUCUUUCCAUAAUUUAUGUUACAGUGCCAUCUUAUGGCAGU
RNAcentral lists this long non-coding RNA (646 nucleotides) under Saimiri boliviensis boliviensis (Bolivian squirrel monkey). RNAcentral's name for it is "lncRNA (ENSSBOG00000036752.1)". Lineage: Eukaryota; Metazoa; Chordata; Mammalia; Primates; Cebidae. The record is from RNAcentral.